CAGCAGCCGCGGGAAUACGAAGGGGGCUAGCGUUGCUCGGAAUGACUGGGCGUAAAGGGCGCGUAGGCGGAUUGUUUAGUUAGGCGUGAAAUUCCUGGGCUUAACCUGGGGACUGCGCUUAAUACAGGCAGUCUAGAGUGAGGAAGAGGGUUGUGGAAUUCCCAGUGUAGGGGUGAAAUUCGUAGAUAUUGGGAAGAACGCCGGUGGCGAAGGCGGCGACCUGGUCCUUGACUGACGCUGAGGCGCGAAAGCGUGGGGGGCAAACAGGAUUAGAUACCCCAGUAGUCCCUGUCUCUUAUAC
RNAcentral lists this ribosomal RNA (301 nucleotides) under uncultured bacterium. Its description in RNAcentral is "partial 16S ribosomal RNA". It matches the Rfam family "Bacterial small subunit ribosomal RNA", at positions 509 to 807 of the family's 1533-position model. The record is from RNAcentral.